RNAcentral lists this ribosomal RNA (253 nucleotides) under uncultured bacterium. RNAcentral's name for it is "partial 16S ribosomal RNA". It matches the Rfam family "Bacterial small subunit ribosomal RNA", at positions 524 to 776 of the family's 1533-position model. The record is from RNAcentral.
UACGUAGGGGGCGAGCGUUGUCCGGAGUUACUGGGCGUAAAGGGCAUGCAGGCGGUCCGACACGUUUUGUGUGACAGCGGGUGGCUUAACUACCCGAGGAUACGAAAGACGGUAGGACUUGAGGACUCGAGAGGGACACGGAAUUCCGGGUGGAGUGGUGAAAUGCGUAGAGAUCCGGAGGAACACCAAAGGCGAAGGCAGUGUCCUGGCGAGUGACUGACGCUGAGGUGCGAAAGCCAGGGGAGCGAACGGG